GACGAACGCUGGCGGCGUGCUUAACACAUGCAAGUCGAACGGGAUUUAGUAGACAGAAGCCUCGGCUAAAGAUUACUAAUGAGAGUGGCGAACGGGUGAGUAACGCGUGAGCAACCUGCCUAUGACAGUGGGAUAGCCUCGGGAAACCGGGAUUAAUACCGCAUAAAAUCGUAGAAACACAUGUUUUAACGGUCAAAGAUUUAUCGGUCAUAGAUGGGCUCGCGUCUGAUUAGCUAGUUGGUGAGAUAACAGCCCACCAAGGCGACGAUCAGUAGCCGGUCUGAGAGGAUGAACGGCCACAUUGGAACUGAGACACGGUCCAAACUCCUACGGGAGGCAGCAGUGGGGAAUAUUGCACAAUGGGGGAAACCCUGAUGCAGCGACGCCGCGUGAACGAAGAAGGUAUUCGUAUCGUAAAGUUCUGUCCUAUGGGAAGAUAAUGACAGUACCAUAGAAGAAAGCUCCGGCUAAAUACGUG
This 478-nucleotide ribosomal RNA is filed under the name uncultured bacterium. RNAcentral describes it as "partial 16S ribosomal RNA". It matches the Rfam family "Bacterial small subunit ribosomal RNA", at positions 28 to 507 of the family's 1533-position model. The record is from RNAcentral.